AGUGAACGCUGGCGGUAGGCCUAACACAUGCAAGUCGAACGGCAGCACAGGAGAGCUUGCUCUCUGGGUGGCGAGUGGCGGACGGGUGAGGAAUACAUCGGAAUCUACUCUGUCGUGGGGGAUAACGUAGGGAAACUUACGCUAAUACCGCAUACGACCUACGGGUGAAAGCAGGGGACCUUCGGGACCUGCGCGAAUGAAUGAGCCGAUGUCGGAUUAGCUAGUUGGCGGGGUAAAGGCCCACCAAGGCGACGAUCCGUAGCUGGUCUGAGAGGAUGAUCAGCCACACUGGAACUGAGACACGGUCCAGACUCCUACGGGAGGCAGCAGUGGGGAAUAUUGGACAAUGGGCGCAAGCCUGAUCCAGCCAUACCGCGUGGGUGAAGAAGGCCUUCGGGUUGUAAAGCCCUUUUGUUGGGAAAGAAAUCCAGCUGGCUAAUACCCGGUUGGGAUGACGGUACCCAAAGAAUAAGCACCGGCUAACUUCGUGCCAGCAGCCGCCGUAA
RNAcentral lists this ribosomal RNA (506 nucleotides) under uncultured bacterium. Its description in RNAcentral is "partial 16S ribosomal RNA". It matches the Rfam family "Bacterial small subunit ribosomal RNA", at positions 29 to 523 of the family's 1533-position model. The record is from RNAcentral.